CCCUGCCAUUUGUACACACCGCCCGUCGUUUCUUCCGACUGUUACUCAUUGUGAGUUGCAAGGAUCCUGUAAUGGGAAAAUUGCUGCGAAUGCUUUGUAAUGGAGGAAGAAAAAGUCGUAACAAGGUUACCGUA
Molecule: ribosomal RNA, 134 nt
Filed under: uncultured eukaryote
Lineage: Eukaryota
Description: partial small subunit ribosomal RNA
Rfam family: Eukaryotic small subunit ribosomal RNA
Source: RNAcentral